RNAcentral lists this ribosomal RNA (484 nucleotides) under uncultured bacterium. RNAcentral describes it as "partial 16S ribosomal RNA". It matches the Rfam family "Bacterial small subunit ribosomal RNA", at positions 30 to 507 of the family's 1533-position model. The record is from RNAcentral.
AUUGAACGCUGGCGGCAGGCCUAACACAUGCAAGUCGAGCGGAUGAAGGGAGCUUGCUCCUGGAUUCAGCGGCGGACGGGUGAGUAAUGCCUAGGAAUCUGCCUGGUAGUGGGGGAUAACGUCCGGAAACGGGCGCUAAUACCGCAUACUUCCUGAGGGAGAAAGUGGGUGAUCUUCGGACCUCACGCUAUCAGAGGAGCCUAGGUCGGUUUAGCUAGUUGGUGGGGUAAAGGCCUACCAAGGCGACGAUCCGUAACUGGUCUGAGAGGAUGAUCAGUCACACUGGAACUGAGACACGGUCCAGACUACUACGGGAGGCAGCAGUGGGGAAUAUUGGACAAUGGGCGAAAGCCUGAUCCAGCCAUGCCGCGUGUGUGAAGAAGGUCUUCGGAUUGUAAAGCACUUUAAGUUGGGAGAAAGCGCAGUAAGUUAAUACCUUGCUGUUUUGACGUUACCAACAGAAUAAGCACCGGCUAACUUCGUG